GAUGAACGCUAGCGGCAGGCUUAAUACAUGCAAGUCGAGGGGUAACAUGGUAGCAAUACUGAUGACGACCGGCAAACGGGUGCGGAACACGUACAGAACCUUCCUUUAAGCGGGGGAUAGCCCAUAGAAAUGUGGAUUAAUACCCCAUAGUAAUAUUGUCUGGCAUCAGAUGAUAUUUAAAGAUUUAUCACUUAAAGAUGGCUGUGCGGCUGAUUAGGUAGUUGGGCGGGUAACGGCCCACCAAGCCAGCGAUCAGUAACUGGUGUGAGAGCACGACCAGUCAC
RNAcentral lists this ribosomal RNA (284 nucleotides) under uncultured bacterium. RNAcentral's name for it is "partial 16S ribosomal RNA". It matches the Rfam family "Bacterial small subunit ribosomal RNA", at positions 28 to 311 of the family's 1533-position model. The record is from RNAcentral.